CCGGGUUAGUGUAUACAAUGUUACAAGCAGUAAUUCCACAGAUGGGAACUUCUGGUGUAUUUACAGCCAGUCUCCAGUAUCACUUUCAACCUUCUUCCCUUCCCUCCUACAGAAUGACAAUGCUAGAAAUACUACUUUUCAUCCCUUCAUAUCUCAACCGUCUUAGGAACGAUGUUUCGGCAAAUCUUCGAGGUCAGAUUCCUAAACUACUGAAACUAAUACACCAAAGAUCCACCGGUAUUUUGAUCAUAGGACGAACAGCACACUGGUUCACAGCUAAACUCGUGGGAUGCUGCAGAGGGAACCAAGUUCAACUCAUGGGGUUAUACCUGUUCGUUCAGAGUGUUUCUUUUUCACCUUCUUUCUCCUUCGGAACAAAAAUUAGUUAUCCAUCCAGGCAAAUUGUUGGUCAGUCUAUUUACACCCUUGAAGCCUUGUAUUAUCACCUUCUUUCCAAUCCUGUAGCCGCCUAGACCCCAGCUGCUGCAUAAUGCCACACCCUCAUGACGACCUUCGCCAACUUUUAAUUCCCUUUUGAGGCAGUUUGAACGGGCUCCAGCUUUUCCUGCGCUUCGGGCUGUCAGCGAAGACGCCUGACGCCAGUGCCUGCUGAAGCCACAUCUCGAAUUCAUCGUCGGGGAUCAUCUCUGCGUCCAAGCUGAAGGGAUACCGGGAACUGUAGGAUCUCUGAGGCAUCCUAUCUGCGCCGACCAUGUUUACCAUAAAAGUUGGACCGUGAGUGUUAGG
This 747-nucleotide unclassified non-coding RNA is filed under the name Zea mays. RNAcentral describes it as "misc RNA Zm00001eb136050". Lineage: Eukaryota; Viridiplantae; Streptophyta; Magnoliopsida; Poales; Poaceae. The record is from RNAcentral.